RNAcentral lists this long non-coding RNA (3083 nucleotides) under Homo sapiens (human). Its description in RNAcentral is "HSALNT0165424". The record is from RNAcentral. Lineage: Eukaryota; Metazoa; Chordata; Mammalia; Primates; Hominidae.
AAAUGAGGCACCCCCUUCGCGAGUCCAGGAAAGGGGUCAGGGAAAUAUCCUGCUUCAUCUGGGGGCCUGUCUGAGAUAUGUCAGAAGGAUUUCCAUACUACUGGCAAAGAUCUCACUAAUUAGCCCUCAUAUAUUGACUUCUGUUUUCAUUUUUCUUCUUUAUUUAUCCUCAAUUGAUUGGUGAUUCCAGCCCUUUGGUCCAGCACUCAAGCCUGGAUCACUCAGUCAUCAUCUUUAUCCACUAACUGCUGGACUCUAAUGAAAAGAAAGCUCUUACCUGCCCAACUUAUUGCCUCCAAGUGUACCAAGAUACGUUUCUCUCUGACAUUGCCUGUACAUUUGCCUGUAGAACUGAAUAAAUGCCUAAAAAAUUAGUGCUAAAUGGCAGCAACUAGAGUUUACUUUGAAGCUGUUUUAUUAUCCUUCAUUGUGUAUAAUUCACUGAGAAAAAUGACACCUGGAUGGUGCCCUUUUCUUGUUUUAUAAAUAUUCAUUUCUUCCUGGUGAUAUAAAAAAGGUUGAAAUGAAAGUUUCGGGUUUUCCUGGGGAAAAGAAAGAAUGACAAUUUUCGAUUACUGUGCUGCUUAUCACAAAAGUAGUUUCAUUUGCCUGAUAGCUUCAUUGACUGGUGUCAAGAUAAUGCCAAGUAGAGUGUUUUGCUAGCUUAAUGCCACCCACAGAGAUAGACAAAAUAUUACUUUUCACAUGCAUUAUGAAAAUAGUAGCUAUUAAUUGUGCUGCUCAACUGUAAGCUGAUCAAACUGCAGAAAACAAGAAAUGUGGCAUUUACGAUUUAGGAAGGCACUUUUCUCAAAUUUCCAGUCAUUAAUUCACAGUUUAAAUCUUGGACCUAAGAAUAUUUACCAAAUUCCUCUAAGUUUCCUGAUCUACUGAAUAUUUUCUUAUUGUUAUGUCAAUCAAGUAAAAUUCUAAGGAGGUUUGAGACUGAGAUUUAUUAUGGCAUUAUAACUCAAUGUUCUGUUUUUCUACUGCAGUUUAAUGUUUUAAAAGGUUAAAUAAGAAUUGGUAUUUAAUGUUAACAAUAACCAUACCUGUUCAUAGACCAUUUUCAUCAACACUUAAGUAUUGGUGCUUAUGCCAUAUCAGGCACUGUUUUAGGCACCACGGAGUAUAAAAAUGGUAAUUUUAGAAUUGUGUGCUUAAGUUUUAAAUCAAGACUGGAAUUUAAGAUACAAAAAGUAUAAUGGCAAAAUUUUCCAGAAAAGUAGACUGGGACUAGAUUAUGAAGACCUUGAAUGCAAGGUUGAGGAAUAUAGAUGUAGAAGGAGCCACUGCAGAAAUUCCCCAGGAGAGUGGCAGAGCAUGUCUAUUCUUUAGAAAUGUCAUUGUGGUCACAAUGCAAAUGAUUGCUUAUGUAUGAGAGGGGCCUAGUGCAAGAGGCGCAGAAGUAUAGAAUGUGCAGGGUUGCAUCGAAAGUAUAGAGUGUGUAGUGACUGUGAGGAUGAAGAGCAGAAAUUACAGUCACUAGCAUAGAGGCAGUGCAGGGUUCUCUUACAUGACAAUAAUGGCAUCAUUAUUAUUAUUAAUUACCAAUAAUAGCUGUCUCCUAUAGCUGGAACAGGACCUCUUGGGUCAUUUAGAUGGUCCUGAUAGCAUGAUCAUAAAUGAUCUGGGAGAUGACUUAAGCAGUAUGUGGUCCAACCCAAGGUCCUGCAUUCUUUAUCUUCUUGAAGCUAUAAUUUGUAAGAGUGACUUGAGGGAGAGUGGGAGAGCGACAAAGUUGGCCCCUAGAUGUCAUGAAAGCCAUGUGUUAGAUGCCACCUCUCCAAGCCUUUCAAAUAUCUUGAUCUUUCAUCUUCAUACCACACUUCUUUCCAAGGUCAGGAGGGGUCAGUGUGGUAACUCACCAUGUGACGCAGACUGAGCCUGAGAUCUAGAAAGUGACUGGCCAUUGAUCAUCUAACAUAUCAUUGGAGGUGGAUGAAUCCAACAAGCAAGGUAGUUUUUGCAACUGAUUAUUGGCCUGAAACAGGAAGAGAUGAAUAAAUUUUUAUUUAAAAUCAUGGCAGUUUAUUUGACCUGUCUCUUGAGAAGUCAUUUACAUUGGAAUUCAACCAUCAAACUUCUCAGCUGACACCCUUCAAUAAUUGUUGGGAACAGGCCCCCCAAAAUCUGUCCAUAAACUGGUCCCAAAACUGGCCAUAAACAAAAUCUCUGCAGCACUGUAACAUGUUCAUAAUGGCCCUAAAGCCCAAGCUGGAAGGUUGUGGGUUUACGGGAAUGAGAGCAAGGAACAUCUGGCCAGCUCAGGGCAGAAAACCGCUUAAGGCAUUCUUAAGCGACAAACAAUAACAUGAACGAUCUGUGCCUUAAGGACGUGCUCCUGCUGCAGUUAACUAGCCCAACCUAUUCCUUUAAUUCGGCCCAUCCCUUCGUUUCCCAUAAGGAAUACCUUUUAGUUAAUCAAAUAUCUAUAGAAACAAUGCUAAUGACUGGCUUGCUGUUAAUAAAUAUAUGGGUAAAUCUCUGUUCAGGGCUCUCAGCUCUGAAGGCUGUGAAACCCCUGAUUUCCCACUUCACACCUCUAUAUUUCUGUGUGUGUGUCUUUAAUUCCUCUAGCGCCACUGAGUUAGGGUCUCCCCGACCAAGCUGGUCUCAGCAAAUAAUAAGAGCUAGUGUGACAUAUGACAGAUGAAAAGAGAUUAAUAUAGUGGUUAUCUUAAUAAGAAAUCCUACAAAUAAUUAGCGUGGUAGUAAAAGCAUAUAUUUGUAGAUCUCAAUUUAAAUUCUGGGUCUGCUAUUGUAAGUCAGAUAAACUUGGCAAGUUACUUUACCUUUCUAACCUCAGUUUCUUUACUUUCUGUCAGUAAGAUAUGAAUGCCAACAUGACAGAUUUGUUUUUAUAUUAAAAUGAAACACUAUACACUUAAGGCAGGUUCUGGGAAAUAAUAAUGGCUCAAAAUUUUAGUCAUUAUUAUAUAGAAAAAUGAAUUGCAAAGUCAUUUUAUGGGACUCUAUUUUCAACUUUUAUGUGGAACUGCAUUGUAUGAAACAGCAAAGUACAACUUAGUAUCUAUUUUGUAAACUCAGCUGUAUGGCAUUUUUUUUCUUAUUAUUAAAUA